Molecule: non-coding RNA, 1638 nt
Organism: Dermacentor albipictus
Lineage: Eukaryota; Metazoa; Arthropoda; Arachnida; Ixodida; Ixodidae
Source: RefSeq, a predicted model, not a curated record
UCAAAGCGUCAAACUCCCACGAAGGAAGGCAUAGGAGAAAGUGGUACGCUCUCUCUUGUUUAGGUGAUUUGUUUUAAGGUCCACUACCAUUAGGCUAAAUGGUGAACUAUGCGAGUUGGUGUACAUUCAUAUAGUUAGGAAAAGCGCGAAGGGAGAAAGAAGACAGAAGCAAACUCGAAAAUAUUUUAUAAGAGGAGCACGUAAUACGCGUGAACAGGAAUGUGUGCGCAUGCGCGCAAAAAGGACUAGAUUGUCAACGGUGCUAACGGAAGGUGAUAUUACACGAACAAUAUAACUGCAGAUGCUUUUACCAGGCCCCGGCACAUUUGUCCGCACUUUGCUGCAAAGUCACAGAAGCUUGUCUCACUCAAGAACGUGUUCUUCUUCGUCGUAGCUAUAGUUGUUCUCGCCGAUUUCACUUGUUCGUCGAUCCGCGUGCUUGAAGAAAGUAUUGGUUUAGCCGAAUCUUGGGGAGCAAAGCACAAAUUGCAACUUGGCGUUUCUUUCCAUGAAUUCCUUUGUUGUCAUAGGCGCUCAUUCACGCGUUGACCCGUUUGUCCGAUAUUUCCUGUGCCACAUAUAUGUCAUGGGAAUUCAGUACACAACAGGUCUGGAGACACGUAGUAAACCUUAUAACGUAUCAGACCUCGUCCUGUUUUAUUCGGUCGUCUCUGACCUUUUACUGGCGCUUUUCCCAACUAUAUGUGGCCUAUUGUAAACUGACGAGCUAUCGCGCGCGCGUAUGUUCUCGGUGUAGGCAACAUAUGACGCGCGCACCAAACGUCUCAAUGAGCUAGCUAGCACGAGGGAAGUAUUCAUGUCCACGUCGUAAGCGAACAACUUCGCACAAAUAAGAGCGUCGUGUCCUAUUCGACGUCAUACUAUCGUCGUUACCUUGAAGCUGCGAUUACCGGCAGACAACCACACUGGCUUUCCUCAAGCGAACACGUUGGUCCAUUUGCAUGGUAACGCUUUGCCGAUCCAAACAUACUGCUGCAUCGCCAGCUAUAUCUACGAAAUGCAUCGCAUAAUAUUGACACGUGAACUCGUUUAUCUUUUACGGGUGAGCGCUUUUACCGUCCACGAAAUGUUUUCAAAAUGUUUUCAAAACCUUUUUGAGAUUAUGCGCGGCCUGGUGAACAUAUCGGGCAACCGCCAAAAUUUGCUGCGAGUAAUUCUCAGAUUGAGCAGAAGCCGAGUGCUUGCCUUGAAGGCCUACUGCUAAGCGUUUUGUUCUGUUCUUCGCGAUAGCGGUAGAGUGUAUAUAUAUGCUGAUUGAGAGAACAAGAACACUCGGUUGUUAGAGCUGUGGUAUGUGUUAUUCUCUUCCUCUUGUUAACUGGCGUUGUUUCCUGCUCGUAAUAAUGAACCAAUCGGCCCAACGCGCCCGGUACUUGCAGAUCACGAACAGCAUCCGCGUUAUCAGCGUGACGCAGCAUUUUUGAGAGGAAUGUGGCGAGCUAGGAUUUCUGAAGAAAGGAAGCGCAACACAGGCCUCUUCUAUAAGGAAAAAAAGUUUCAAGCUGUGCUUAGUUGUCCCGGCAUGGAUCAAUGGGAAAGCAUCGCGAGCCCCGAGCAGUGCUUACACAUUAUGCCACAACGCAAGGUCGUGGGUUCGACUCCCACCAAAUGUCGUUC